Molecule: ribosomal RNA, 253 nt
Filed under: uncultured bacterium
Lineage: Bacteria
Description: partial 16S ribosomal RNA
Rfam family: Bacterial small subunit ribosomal RNA
Source: RNAcentral
UACAGAGGGUGCGAGCGUUAAUCGGAUUUACUGGGCGUAAAGGGCGCGUAGGCGGUGAGAUGUGUGUGAUGUGAAAGCCCCGGGCUCAACCUGGGAAGUGCAUCGCAAACUGUCUGACUGGAGUAUAUGAGAGGGUGGCGGAAUUUCCGGUGUAGUGGUGAAAUGCGUAGAGAUCGGAAGGAACGUCGAUGGCGAAGGCAGCCACCUGGCAUAAUACUGACGCUGAGGAGCGAAAGCGUGGGGAUCGAACAGG